Molecule: long non-coding RNA, 270 nt
Organism: Octopus sinensis (East Asian common octopus)
Lineage: Eukaryota; Metazoa; Mollusca; Cephalopoda; Octopoda; Octopodidae
Exons: 3
Source: RefSeq, a predicted model, not a curated record
AGGCUUUGGGCAUUUCUGUGGAGUGUCGGGAUCUGUCUAUGCUGGAAAUGGCUAUUAAAUACUACGAUGACAGUGAAAUGCCAUUUGAUUAUGUUUAUCAUAUUUUAUUAACUACAUGUGAUGAUGCAGAGUUUUUUAAACGCUCGUUGAGAAUAUUCAUUGAGAUCCUUCUAGCAUCUUCUAGAAAGAAUUAUUUUCUGGUGUUUAAAUGUGCAGUUAAAUUGAACGAUAUUGAAUUUCUUGCUAAUCUGUUGGCUUCUUUGACUUCUG